CUUCUGAAGUUUAGAAAAUUUGAGUAAGAUGGAAUGAGGAAAGGAAUGCUAGAUUAAAAGCAAUGCGCUUGGCCUCCGUGAAAAAACGAUCCGAAGAAUCUGAGGAUGGAAGGGAUGCUAAAUUACAAAGAAUGACCUCUAUUACGGUAAGCAGGAGAAUAUAUGCUCAAAAGCAGCAUCUGUGCAGCUACAUCACUGGGAUUACAAGCAAAAUUCUGCUUUUACCUAUAAUCUAUCUACAUUAUACGAAUCAGACAUUGAUGUAGUUAGUGAUUGGGUCCAUGUCAACAAUAUGUUGUCACUGCAAAGCUCUUACAAGUUAGAUUUAAAGAUGAAAG
This 338-nucleotide long non-coding RNA is filed under the name Androctonus crassicauda. The record is from RNAcentral. Lineage: Eukaryota; Metazoa; Arthropoda; Arachnida; Scorpiones; Buthidae.